AACGAACGUUGGCGGCAUGGAUUAGGCAUGCAAGUCGCACGAAUCCCAUCUGGGUAACUGGGUGGGGAAGGUGGCGAAAGGGCAGUAAGGCGUGGGUAACUUGCCCCCGGAGUUCGGAAUAGCCUUCCUAACGGAUGGGUAAUACCGAAUGCCGUAUCGAGGGGGCAUCCUCUUGAUACGAAAGUUACGGCGCUCCGGGAGGGCCCACGUAGUAUUAGCUAGUUGGUGAGGUAACGGCUCACCAAGGCCAAGAUGCUUAGCAGGUGUGAGAGCACGACCUGCGCCACUGGCACUGGGACACUGGCCAGACUCCUACGGGAGGCUGCAGUCGAGGAUCUUCGGCAAUGGGCGCAAGCCUGACCGAGCGAUGCCGCGUGUGCGAUGAAGGCC
This 390-nucleotide ribosomal RNA is filed under the name uncultured bacterium. RNAcentral's name for it is "bacterial SSU rRNA". It matches the Rfam family "Bacterial small subunit ribosomal RNA", at positions 29 to 416 of the family's 1533-position model. The record is from RNAcentral.